CCAAGGCUGUGGUGAGCUGAGAUUGUGCCCCUAACUCCAGCCUGGGUGAUAGAGCGAGACCUGUCUGAAAAAAACAAAAAGCAGUCCUGCAUUCUUCAGUAUUUUUUUAUAGAUGGGAUCUCCAAUGAUGAUGAUGUGUAGCUGAGCCCAGUGAGAAGACAAUGAGAUAUGUUACACCAAACCUGUCUCUCUUUUGAAUCAACACUUUGAUGUGAGCACUCUGACCUCUGGAGAACAGUGACUCUCAAUUUUAGGGAGCAUUAAAAUCACCUGGAGAGGUAGUAAUUAAGAUUCCUGGAUAGAAUCCCCAGAGAUUUUGAUUUAGUAGGAGGUAGGUCUGAGAAUCCACAUUUUUAACAUGUGUACGAAUGAUGCUAAUGCUGUUCUUAAAUUAAUAAAGUAAAAAAAAAAAAGCCCCACUGGAACAAGGAAGAUUCUUCUAUAUACAGCUGCAUGCUUAUAGGUACUUAAUGUUUAAGUAAUUGCAAGAAGCUGGUUAAGAAUAUUUGGGCAUCUGAAGGAAAUUAAUAUGAAAUAGACUUUUCACUCUUAAAUAUUUUUUGAGCUGGGUAAAGUAUACUAGUAUUACCUAUUUAAAAAGCAAAUAAAUACAUAUGUUUUCCAACUCCCAAUUAAAUAUAAAUGAACAUACUUUUUGACCCAGCAAUUUACUUCUAGGGAAAUAUACCACAGAUAUUUGUAAACAUGUGCAAAGGACAAACUUAUUCAUCACAACAUUUUUUUCCCAAGCAAUAGGUUAAAAAGAUAAAAGUCCAUCAAGUAGUGAACUAGUGAAAUAAACUACAUGUUGCUCAGUGGAAUAAUAUGCAACAUAUAGAAAGAAUAUAAACUAAUAAUGUACUGACGUGGAAUAACCUCUAUGACAUAAUUUGAAUGGAAAGGUGCAGAAAGGAGUAUAUAUUAUGCUAAUAUUAUACAGAUAAGGUAGAAAUAUUUUUAUAUGUUAGCAUACAUAUUCAUAAGCUAUCCUGGAAUACAAUAUGAUUGAUAUCGCUGGUUGUCUCUGAGAAGGGAAAGGGAUGCCAGGCAUCUGGGUUAAAGAAUUUUUAUCCUAUACUCUCUUGUACCUUUUGAGUUAUGUGAUUAUGUUACCUAGUAAAUAUUUUUCAAAAACUACUUGGUAGAUAUCUUUCCAUUUAAGGAAACACAGUUAUCUAAUUUUUAAAUGACUGAACUGAUAAUGCCUUGUAUUUACUAGAUUUAACUAAUUCCCUAUUGAUGAGCUCUUAGAAUGCUUCUAGUUUUUCACUAUUGUAAAUAUCCUUGUGGUAAAUAUACUUGAAUACAUUUUUAGACAUAUGUGCAAAUACCUUUUAGCAGAAAAUUAUUAGACUUAUGGUAAAAAAUAAUUAAAAUUUGAUUGUUAUAGCUAUGCAAAUAUUAAGCUCAUCUUUUUGUUGUUAUUGUUACUUGUAACAGCUUAUUGCAUGUUAGGAAGUUCGAGAAUUUUAGCUGCCCAAAACACUUUUUCUUCCCCUAAUUUUCAGUUCCAGAAAUUCUUCUUUCUUGUGGAGAAUAUCAUUAGCAUGUUUUGGGAGGGGCUAACUCUGCCUUACCUAUUUCCAAAGAUGGGCAUGUGACCCAGGCCUGGCCAGAGUAAACAAAUCAUGCUCUAAUGAUUUGUUUGUAUUUGGAUUGGUGACCCAGGCUGAGCCAAUGAAAAUCAUCCCUAAUGUAUUUUACAGUAACAGUUGGGGUAGUGUGUUUUCCUUUGAGGUUCCUGAGAUUCUUGUAUAUGAGGCUGGAAUGAUUAAUGGCCAUCCAUAUUACCUGGAUAUGAGGCAAUUUUUUAAAAAAGUAUUGGUAACAGAUAGAUGAUAAAGUGAGCUAGAUUAGAUAGAAAAAUAGAUAAUGCCUUGAUGACACAGUUUGAGGUCCUCAAUGAGUUGUGCCAGAUGUAUACAUACAUCCACAACAUAUGUAUAUUUGUUGAAAACUUCAUUCUUUCCUGGUCAUAUAUACUAUAUUUUCCCCAGUGUUCUGCUUGUCUUUAUUUUUCGUUAUUUUUGCUAUACAUUUUAAACAUUUUUUUUUACAUGAUAAAUUUGUUCAUCUUCUUUAAGGUUUCAUUUCCAGCUUAAAAAAAACUUUCUAAAUCGAUUUUUUAAAGACCGUAAGUAUUAUUUUUGUAUUUUUAACUUUAUGUCUAAAAUUGGAAAUUAACCUUUGGUGUGCUGUGAGGAAGAUAAUCCCAUUUUUUUAAAAAAGAGUAAUACAUUAUAUAAAUGUGUGUAUACACACAUACACAUGUUGAAAUAAUUAUCUCUGGCUUUCAUUGGGUGGUGGUAUAGCCAAGUGCCCCAUUUUUAAAAGGAAAACAUGAUGUUUUUUUUUCCUUUACCCCACUUCCUACUUAGCUCUUUAGGAAUGCAAUUAUAACCUUUACCAUCUCUCCAUCAGGUGCAGCAAGUUUAUCUGUUUACUUAGAAGUUCCAGAGACUAAAACGUGAAGCAAAUCAGGCCCAUCUGGAACUCUCAGACACCAGGAGACUGCCUGAAUUUACAAGGUAGCUGCCUGCCGAGGCACCAGCCAGACUACCUGAUAGCAGGAAGAAGAACAGACAUAAAACAUAACAGGAAGCUGUGGUGCUCCAAAAAUAUCACAGGAUCGAAUGACACGAAAACCUUCACCAAACUUGGGACCAUGACACCAUUCACACUUGGAGGUGCUGAAAUGGAGGAAACAGCAAAUCAAGAGAUGUGAAAGCUGACCACAGAAGAAAGAAAGAUAUAUAACGUAAUAUAGAGAUUCCUUGGCUUGGGAGAAAGCAUGGAGCAAGAAGGAAAAGAAAGUGGGUUAAGACAUAAGUCUGUGGCCUGUUCGCUGCUCUCAGCCCAAGCAGUUGGUUGUUGAGUAGAAAUGAGGAAGAUGGAAGUGAAGAGGAGGCGAUCUCUCAAGAAUCUGAGAAUCCUUGAAUUUUCUAAGUAGGAAACCAACAGAGAAGAAACUCAAUAAAGCAAAAAUGGCAGCAUGACAUGGAAGAGACCCAGAAGUUAAUUUACAUCACAGACAAGGAUACAAAAGUUCUGGGAGGAAUGGAGGGCUGUUGUUGGAGUGUUCUGCUAUGUACAAUCUCUUAUGAAAUGCAGCUAUUUGAAUUAUUAAUUUGUUAUAUUAUUUUUAUUGUUCUAGAAUUUUAUUUUACUCAUUUUUAAAAACAAAAAUACCAGUUUUGUGGUGAAAUUCUCCAAUGAUCUGUUUAUUUUCUUGGACAUAGUAAUCAUAGUCCUUUUUAAAUCCAUUUGAAACUCUAAUAUCUGAAUCAAAUAUAGGGCUAUUUCUAUUGCCUUUCUUUCUACUGUUUUUCAGAUAUUUUGUUUUUUUUAGAAUGCUUUGUAAUUUUUUUAAUUUAAUGCUGGACUUUGAGUAUGAACUAUUUUAACAAGUCUGGAUAAUGCACUCUCUCUUGCUCUCUCUCUCUCUCUCUGGCUCUCUCACUCUCUCAGCAUGUGUUAGGUUUUCCUUGAUUAGGCAGAGAACACCAUUAUCAAAGAUUGAUUUGAGCUUUGUUAGGGCUUGGCUAUUUUGGUUUUGUCCUCUUUCCUAGAACAUCCUCUUUAUUCCUAAGGCAUGGAAUUUCAAUUCCAAUGUGUUUAUAAAAGCCCCAACACUUUGUCAGAGCUUGAACUCUACUAUCCACCCCUUGUGCAACCACAAAACUCUAUGAUCAAUUUCUUAUCUCUCAGCUGAUGUUUUCUGCUGUGUUUCUUGGAGUCUUGUUCUACACAAGCACAGCUUAGAAAUCAGCUAGCACCCUUGAGGGAGUCUGUGUGCAGAUUUCUUUCCAGGAGAUUGUGAUAUAGUUUGGAUGUUGUCUUCUGUAAAUCUCAUGUUGAAAUGUAAUCCCCAAUGUUGAAUGUGGGUCCUGGAGGGAGGUGUUUGGGUCAUGCAGGCAGAUCUCUUAUGGCUUGGUGCUGUCCUUGUGAUAGUGAGUGUAAUUCUCAUUAGAUCUUGUUUAAAAGUACGUGGCAGGCCGGAUGUAGUGGCUCACACCUGUAAUCCCAGCACUUUUGGGAGGCCAAGAAGGGUGGAUCACUUGAUGUCAGGAGUUCGAGACCAACCUGGUCAACAUGGUGAA
Molecule: long non-coding RNA, 4100 nt
Organism: Sapajus apella (tufted capuchin)
Lineage: Eukaryota; Metazoa; Chordata; Mammalia; Primates; Cebidae
Exons: 3
Source: RefSeq, a predicted model, not a curated record